UGAUGUGAGAAUUCAAGUCUCUCUCAAACUUUACCUGCAAAUCGAAACCAAAUGAGCCGUUUGUAAACUGUGUAGUCUCUCCCAAGUCUCUCUCUCUCUCUCAACCAUAGUCUUCUUCCUUCUACAGUGAUAAACAGCAAAAAUGCAGCAUUCGAACUUAGCUGAUGAUUCAGAUUCAUGGCUUUCCACUGCUGCUGCUGCUUCAUCUGCACCUAAUUCCAAUUUGAAUCGUGACCUCUUCAACGAUCUCGUU
This 253-nucleotide long non-coding RNA is filed under the name Trifolium pratense (red clover). RNAcentral's name for it is "long non-coding RNA (TPRA_LNC001154)". The record is from RNAcentral. Lineage: Eukaryota; Viridiplantae; Streptophyta; Magnoliopsida; Fabales; Fabaceae.